CCUACGGGAGGCAGCAGUGAGGAAUAUUGGUCAAUGGGCGCGAGCCUGAACCAGCCAAGUCGCGUGAGGGAAGACGGUCCUAUGGAUUGUAAACCUCUUUUGUCGGGGAGCAAAAGACGCCACGCGUGGCGUUCCGAGAGUACCCGAAGAAAAAGCAUCGGCUAACUCCGUGCCAGCAGCCGCGGUAAUACGGAGGAUGCGAGCGUUAUCCGGAUUUAUUGGGUUUAAAGGGUGCGCAGGCGGAAGAGCAAGUCAGCGGUAAAAUUGAGAGGCUCAACCUCUUCGAGCCGUUGAAACUGGUUUGCUUGAGUGAGUGAGAAGUAUGCGGAAUGCGUGGUGUAGCGGUGAAAUGCAUAGAUAUCACGCAGAACUCCGAUUGCGAAGGCAGCAUACCGGCGCUCAACUGACGCUCAUGCACGAAAGUGUGGGUAUCGAACAGGAUUAGAUACCCUUGUAGUC
This 459-nucleotide ribosomal RNA is filed under the name uncultured bacterium. RNAcentral describes it as "partial 16S ribosomal RNA". It matches the Rfam family "Bacterial small subunit ribosomal RNA", at positions 338 to 795 of the family's 1533-position model. The record is from RNAcentral.